AGAGUGAACGCUGGCGGUAGGCCUAACACAUGCAAGUCGAACGGCAGCACAGGAGAGCUUGCUCUCUGGGUGGCGAGUGGCGGACGGGUGAGGAUACAUCGGAAUCUACCUUUUCGUGGGGGAUAACGUAGGGAAACUUACGCUAAUACCGCAUAAGACCUUCGGGUGAAAGCCGGGGACCUUCGGGCCUGGCGCGGAUAGAUGAGCCGAUGUCGGAUUAGCUUGGUUGGCGGGGUAAAAGCCCACCAAGGCGACGAUCCGUAGCUGGUCUGAGAGGAUGAUCAGCCACACUGGAACUGAGACACGGUCCAG
Molecule: ribosomal RNA, 312 nt
Filed under: uncultured soil bacterium
Lineage: Bacteria
Description: bacterial SSU rRNA
Rfam family: Bacterial small subunit ribosomal RNA
Source: RNAcentral